This 399-nucleotide ribosomal RNA is filed under the name uncultured bacterium. Its description in RNAcentral is "bacterial SSU rRNA". It matches the Rfam family "Bacterial small subunit ribosomal RNA", at positions 122 to 518 of the family's 1533-position model. The record is from RNAcentral.
CAACAUGCCGGUAGUGGAGGAUAGUCGAUGGAAACGUCGUGUAAUACUCCGUAACAACAUUGACCGCAUGAUCGAUGUUUAAUAGAUUUAUUGCUAUCGGAUUGGCUCGCGUACCAUUAGCUAGUUGGCGGGGUAACGGCCCACCAAGGCGACGAUGGUUAGGGGUUCUGAGAGGAAGGUCCCCCCACAUUGGAACUGAGACACGGUCCAGACUCCUACGGGAGGCAGCAGUGAGGAAUAUUGGACAAUGGCCGGAAGGCUGAUCCAGCCAUGCCGCGUGCGGGAAGAACCGGCCCUAUGGGUUGUAAACCGCUUUUGUUGGGGAGCAAUAAGGAGCACGUGUGCUUCGAUGAGAGUACCCAGCGAAUAAGCAUCGGCUAACUCCGUGCCAGCAGCAGC